GCUUCUGUAGCGCAGUCGGUAUCGCGUCAGUCUCAUAAUCUGAAGGUCGUGACUUCGAGCCUCACCGCGAGCA
Molecule: non-coding RNA, 73 nt
Organism: Angiostrongylus costaricensis
Lineage: Eukaryota; Metazoa; Nematoda; Chromadorea; Rhabditida; Metastrongylidae
Source: Rfam